This 1661-nucleotide long non-coding RNA is filed under the name Marmota monax (woodchuck). The record is from RNAcentral. Lineage: Eukaryota; Metazoa; Chordata; Mammalia; Rodentia; Sciuridae.
UGUAUUAUCUGCAAAAGGUGAAGCAGAAGGUCUCUAGACGACAGGGAUAUUGAGUCAGCAUUUGAAUGUUGAAUAUUGAGGUUCCUGGCUACCAACUUAGUUCCCAGAAUCCAGCAGCCAGGCCUUCUGUUUCUCAGGAGAUUAGAUGAUCCUUCUCCAUGUAAGCUGAUCAACCCAAGUGAAAAGUCCUGAAGAUAUAGAAGGUUUUCCAGCUGUAAGCCCAAACUCUACAGAGAAGUUUACAGUUUAACAAACCUCUACCUCUUCCCUUAGUUUCCCAUCAACAUUUUGUUACCCUAUUUGUAUAAAAGACCAGACACCAAAGAUUAUUAGAUAUAUAACAAAAGCCUCUAUCAUGAAAACAGAAAUCAAAACAAAUGACAAAAAUACUUUUCUCCUACUCAAGGAAAAAAAUUAUCUUUAGGAGAGAGUUGCAACCAUGAAAGACAAGUAAGCAGAAAAAUAUUUUUUAAUAUUUAUUUUUUAGUUGUAGUUGGACACAAUACCUUUAUUUUAUUUAUUUAUAUGUGGUGCUGAGGAUUGAACCCAGGGCUCGCUCAUGCUAGGUGAGCACAUUGUGGCUCAAUGUAAAGAAAAGAAUAUUCAGAAUACAAUAAAAAGCCUUUAGAAUUGAUAAUGCAAUCAUAUAAAUGGUGGAGGGAUGAACUAUUGAAAGAGAGAAAGUUAAGGAAAUUUCCUAGAAAUUAGAGCAAAAAGAAAGAUCUAAUUUAGGAUAUUCAAAGUCCACAAAGUAACAGAGAAAUUGGGGGUUGAGGGAGUAAGGCAGGAAGAGAAAGAGGGAAAAAAUCAUUAAUUAAGAGAGAAAAAAAAAAGGGAAAAAAGUCAUUAAUUAAAUAAUCUAAAAAAAAUUCCCAGAACUGAAAUACAUGAGUCACCAAGUUGAACAAGUUCAUUAAAUGUCUACUACAAUGUAUAAAAAUAGAUCAGCUGGUUAUGGUGGCACAGGCCUGUAAUCCCAACGGCUCAGGAGGUUGAGGCAGGAGGAUGGCAAGUUCAAAGCCAGCCUCAGCAAUUUAGUGAGGCCCUAACCAACUCAGUAAGAUCCUCUCUCUUAAUAAAAUACAAAAUAGGGCUGGGGGUGUGGCUCAGUGGUCAAGUGCCCCUGAGUUCAAUCUCCAAUACUGAAAAAUAAAACAAAAUAAAAAUAGAUCAACUUGAAAACGUGAUCCAGAAAUCUGAGCACAUAGCAGACAAAGAAAAGAUCUUCAAGCUUCCAGAGAGAACGCAAAAAAAAGGACUAAAACUCAGAUUUGGGACCAGUAGCAUGUCAAUGACCUGGCAACUAGUUAGGAAGUUAAAUUCUUGGACUUCAUCCUAGAACUACUCAGUUAAUGAAACUUCAUCCAUCUCAGAAACUCUGAGAGUGGGACUGGCUAUCUGUUUUGUAAUAUGUUCUUCCUGUGAUUCUGGUGCACACUACAGUUGGAGAAACAGUGCCCUCAGAAUAGUGACUCUCCAACUAGUACUCAGGAUAAUUAAGUUGAACAUGAAUUGGACUGCCAGCAUAUAUUACCUUAAAUAGAUAUAGACCAUUGGAGCAAGUACUUAAGAAGAUACUGUAAUGCUAAAAGGAAUAAAAAUAUAUUUGAAUAAACCACUUUCAAAUGAUUGCUGAAAGAAAACGUUAUGAAAAGCCCAGG